AAAGUGAAACUGCGAAUGGCUCAUUAAAUCAGCUAUUAUUUAUUGGAUGCGCAGCUAUUCUACAUGGAUAACUGUGGUAAUUCUAGAGCUAAUACAUGCCCUGGUUAACUAGCCUUCACGGGUUAGUUGCAAUUAUUAGACCAAAAUCAACCGCCUCUCACGGGGUGUUGUACUUGGUGACUCUGGAUAAUUUUACAGAUCGUACGGCCUUAGCGUCGACGACUCAUCCAAUAGAUAUCUGCCCUAUCAACUUUAGAUGGUAGGUUAAUAGCCUACCAUGGUGAUAACGGGUAACGGGGAAUCAGGGUUCGAUUCCGGAGAGGGAGCCUGAGAAACAGCUACCACAUCCAAGGAAGGCAGCAGGCGCGCAAAUUACCCACUCUCGACACGAGGAGGUAGUGACAAUAAAUAACGAUGCGGGACUCAAUCGAGGCCCCGUAAUCGGAAUGAGUACACUUUAAAUCCUUUAACGAGGAUCAAUUGGAGGGCAAGUCUGGUGCCAGCAGCCGCGGUAAUCCAGCUCCAAUAGCAUAUAU
This 536-nucleotide ribosomal RNA is filed under the name Duplominona sp. 214386083. Its description in RNAcentral is "SSU rRNA". It matches the Rfam family "Eukaryotic small subunit ribosomal RNA", at positions 78 to 604 of the family's 1831-position model. Lineage: Eukaryota; Metazoa; Platyhelminthes; Proseriata; Monocelididae. The record is from RNAcentral.